CACGUAGUUAGCCGGCGCUUUCUCUGCAGGUACCGUCAAUUUCUCUUCUUCCCUGCUAACAGAGGUUUACAACCCGAAGGCCGUCAUCCCUCACGCGGCGUCGCUGCAUCAGGCUUGCGCCCAUUGUGCAAUAUUCCCCACUGCUGCCUCCCGUAGGAGUCUGGGCCGUGUCUCAGUCCCAGUGUGGCCGGUCACCCUCUCAGGCCGGCUACCCGUCGUCGCCUUGGUGAGCCGUUACCUCACCAACAAGCUGAUAGGCCGUGAGCCCAUCUAUAACCACUACAUAACGCUUUCCACCAACACCCCAUGCGGAGAUUGGCGUAUCCGGUAUUAGACCCAGUUUCCCGGGCUUAUCCCAGAGUUAAAGGUAGGUUACUCACGUAUUACUCACCCGUUCGCCACUAAUCCACCUAGCAAGCUAGGCUUCAUCGUUCGACUUGCAUGUGUUAAGCACGCCGCAGCGUUCGUCCUGAGCCAGGAUCAAACUCU
This 489-nucleotide ribosomal RNA is filed under the name uncultured Rothia sp. Its description in RNAcentral is "partial 16S ribosomal RNA". Lineage: Bacteria; Bacillati; Actinomycetota; Actinomycetes; Micrococcales; Micrococcaceae. The record is from RNAcentral.